GCGUUAUUGGAGUAGUGGUUAACUUAUUGCCUUCCCAUUUUCAAACGAUAAGGCAGGGACAAGGGUUCGAACCCCUUAUAACGUA
RNAcentral lists this transfer RNA (85 nucleotides) under Lachnellula suecica. It matches the Rfam family "tRNA". Rfam says of the family: Transfer RNA (tRNA) molecules are approximately 80 nucleotides in length. Their secondary structure includes four short double-helical elements and three loops (D, anti-codon, and T loops). Further hydrogen bonds mediate the characteristic L-shaped molecular structure. tRNAs have two regions of fundamental functional importance: the anti-codon, which is responsible for specific mRNA codon recognition, and the 3' end, to which the tRNAs corresponding amino acid is attached (by aminoacyl-tRNA synthetases). tRNAs cope with the degeneracy of the genetic code in two manners: having more than one tRNA (with a specific anti-codon) for a particular amino acid; and 'wobble' base-pairing, i.e. permitting non-standard base-pairing at the 3rd anti-codon position. Lineage: Eukaryota; Fungi; Ascomycota; Leotiomycetes; Helotiales; Lachnaceae. The record is from Rfam by way of RNAcentral.